CAGUAGCGUAUAUUAAAGUUGUUGCGGUUAAAAAGCUCGUAGUUGAAGGAUGGUGGGUAUGUCCGUAGGUGUGCUUCACUGUACGCCUCAUGGAUAUCCCUCUAUGGGUAAAUCUUGCGUAGUGACUUGAUUGUAUUACGCGUUUUUUGCCUCCGUUACUUUGAGGAAAUUAGAGUGUUUCAAGCAAUCUUCUGUUGUGUAUAUAGUAGCAUGGAAUAACAAUAGACAACUUCAUUGUUGCUUGUUGGUUCGAAAUAAUGGAGUGAUGGUGGAUAGAAACAGUUGGGGGCACUCGUACUUGACAGUCAGAGGUGGAAUUCUUGGAUUUGUCAAAGACGUCCUACUGCGAAAGCAUUUGCCACGGAUGUUUNCAUUGA
RNAcentral lists this ribosomal RNA (377 nucleotides) under uncultured eukaryote. RNAcentral describes it as "partial 18S ribosomal RNA". It matches the Rfam family "Eukaryotic small subunit ribosomal RNA", at positions 592 to 976 of the family's 1831-position model. The record is from RNAcentral.